UACAGAGACCCCAAACGUUAUCCGGAAUCACUGGGCGUAAAGCGUUCCGAUUGGUGGUUUGGUAAGUCUUUGGUGAAAGCCUCGAGCUCAACUCGAGAAUCGCCAAGGAAACUAUCAGACUAGAAGGGCAAAGAGGGAGCUAGAACUCUGGGUGUAGCGGUGAAAUGCGUUGAUAUCCAGAGGAAUACUCAAAGCGAAGGCAGGCUCCUGGGUGCCUCUUGACACUGCUAGGACGAAAGCGUGGGGAGCGAAUGGG
RNAcentral lists this unclassified non-coding RNA (256 nucleotides) under uncultured Parcubacteria group bacterium. RNAcentral describes it as "contains 16S-23S intergenic spacer region". It matches the Rfam family "Bacterial small subunit ribosomal RNA", at positions 524 to 776 of the family's 1533-position model. The record is from RNAcentral.